Molecule: small nuclear RNA, 169 nt
Filed under: Myotis davidii
Lineage: Eukaryota; Metazoa; Chordata; Mammalia; Chiroptera; Vespertilionidae
Description: U1 spliceosomal RNA
Rfam family: U1 spliceosomal RNA
About the family: U1 is a small nuclear RNA (snRNA) component of the spliceosome (involved in pre-mRNA splicing).
Source: Rfam by way of RNAcentral
AUACUUACCUGGUAGGGGAGAUACCAUGAUCACGAAGGUGGUUUUCCCAGGGCGAGGCUUAUCCAUUGCACUCCGGAUGGGAUGUGUUGUCCCUUGCGAUUUCCCAAAAUGUGGGAAAAUUGACUACAUAAUUUGAGGUAGUGGGGGACUGCAUUCACGCUGUCCCCUG